CUGGCCCACGUGACGUACAGACCCGCCACAAAUACAAAGUUCAUCUGUUCACUCGGACAGAGUCUCCUUUGUAUUUGCACGGCAUACCAACGGAUACAACAGGAUCACAACCACAACCUACAUUUACCAAUCAGCAACCAAUUCAUGAUAUGCAUUUUCAUACAGCUAACAAUCCUUAGAGAUGAUGCAUGCCUCUAAACACUCCUUAGACG
Molecule: long non-coding RNA, 212 nt
Filed under: Ananas comosus (pineapple)
Lineage: Eukaryota; Viridiplantae; Streptophyta; Magnoliopsida; Poales; Bromeliaceae
Description: long non-coding RNA (ACOM_LNC014848)
Source: RNAcentral